UACGGGGGGUGCAAGCGUUAAUCGGAAUCACUGGGCGUAAAGGGUGCGUAGGCGGUGCAUUCGGUCUGUCGUGAAAUCCCCGGGCUCAACCUGGGAAUGGCGGUGGAAACCGGCGCACUAGAGUAUGGGAGAGGGUGAUGGAAUGCCAGGUGUAGCGGUGAAAUGCGUAGAGAUCUGGAGGAACAUCAGUGGCGAAGGCGGUAACCUGGCGCAAAACUGACGCUGAGGCGCGAAAGCGUGGGGAGCAAACAGG
Molecule: ribosomal RNA, 253 nt
Filed under: uncultured bacterium
Lineage: Bacteria
Description: partial 16S ribosomal RNA
Rfam family: Bacterial small subunit ribosomal RNA
Source: RNAcentral